AGUGAACGCUGGCGGCGUGCCUAAUACAUGCAAGUCGAACGAAGUGGCGCACGGGUGAGUAAUAUAUAGUUAAUCUGCCCUACACAGAGGAACAACAGUUGGAAACGACUGCUAAUACCUCAUAGUGUAGGAUGAGACUAUAUCGUAUCAGCUAGUUGGUAAGGUAAUGGCUUCCCAAGGCUAUGACGCGUAACUGGUCUGAGAGGAUGAUCAGUCACAGUUGGAAUGAGUUACGGCCCAAACUCCGAGUGGAGGAAGCAGUGGGGAAUAGUGCACCAUGGGGGAAACCCUGAGGCAGAAACGGCGGGUGCGGGAUGACGGCCUUCGGGGUGUAAACCCGUUUCAGCCAUGACGCGGUAGUGGCAGAAGAAGCACCGGCUAACUACGUGCCAGCCGCCGCGGUAAUAC
This 408-nucleotide ribosomal RNA is filed under the name uncultured bacterium. Its description in RNAcentral is "partial 16S ribosomal RNA". It matches the Rfam family "Bacterial small subunit ribosomal RNA", at positions 29 to 526 of the family's 1533-position model. The record is from RNAcentral.